AUAAUACUUCCUCCCUCCCGAAAUACUUGUCGGAGAAAUGGAUGUAUCUAGACGUAUUUUAGUUCUAGAUACAUCUAUUUUUAUACAAUUCUCCGACAAGUAUUUCCAGAGGGAGGGAGUACUUC
This is a non-coding RNA of Triticum aestivum (bread wheat), 125 nucleotides long. Lineage: Eukaryota; Viridiplantae; Streptophyta; Magnoliopsida; Poales; Poaceae. The record is from Rfam.